AUUGCCCGCUGCAGUUCUCGGAGAGUUGUUCAGUUUGCAGCCGAACAUGCAACAUCGAGAAGACCAGCAAGGGGACCCUCAGCAUCACAUAGACAUGCCCUCACUGUGAGCAUUCCUAUAAAUGGAACAGGGUGAACACUAGAAUCAGGGGCCAGGAGCUGAUCUACACUGCCAUGCCCAUCAAUGGGGCACUGGCAAGACCUCACCUCCAGCCUCAUCUCUAUUUCUACAGAUGAAGAGGACUGUAGAUGCUUUUGCCAGAUGCCAGCCUCUGUCGUUUGAUGGGGAGACCAUAAUUAGGACCUGAGCAUGCAUCAGGACUAACUGGCAUGAUGACUCCUUGUUGUCCCCAGUCCACCUGGCCGUG
Molecule: long non-coding RNA, 367 nt
Filed under: Salmo salar (Atlantic salmon)
Lineage: Eukaryota; Metazoa; Chordata; Actinopteri; Salmoniformes; Salmonidae
Description: lncRNA (ENSSSAG00000117624.1)
Source: RNAcentral